RNAcentral lists this ribosomal RNA (775 nucleotides) under uncultured Neocallimastigales. RNAcentral's name for it is "partial large subunit ribosomal RNA". It matches the Rfam family "Eukaryotic large subunit ribosomal RNA", at positions 26 to 628 of the family's 3401-position model. The record is from RNAcentral. Lineage: Eukaryota; Fungi; Neocallimastigomycota; Neocallimastigomycetes; Neocallimastigales.
CGCAUCUGUGCAUGCAGCAUAUCAAUAAGCGGAGGAAAAGAAACUAACAAGGAUUCCCCUAGUAACGGCGAGUGAAGCGGGAAGAGCUCAAAUUUGAAAUCUUAAAGGGUUUCCCUUUACGAAUUGUAGUUUAAAGAAGUGUUUUCUGUUGAGGUUUUGGUAAAAGUUCUUUGGAAUAGGACAUCAUAGAGGGUGAGAAUCCCGUAUUUGACCUUUACUUUCAACUUUGUGAUACACUUUCAAAGAGUCGGAUUGUUUGGGAAUGCAGUCCAAAAUGGGUGGUAAAUUUCAUCUAAAGCUAAAUAUUGGCGAGAGACCGAUAGCGAACAAGUACCGUGAGGGAAAGAUGAAAAGAACUUUGAAAAGAGAGUUAAACAGUACGUGAAAUUGUCAAAAGGGAAGCGUUUGACACCAGUGUUGUUUUUCUGAAAAUCAAUUAAAGAACUGUUUAUGCUAAGCUGUUUAGACUUUAUCAGCUAUCUGCUUUAGUUUUGAGCUUUUCUUUAAUGCACUUUUCAGUUAACAAGUCAACAUCAAUUUCUUUUGCUGUAAAAAAGCUUGAGGAAGGUGGCUUGAGAUUCGUCUUAAGUGUUUAUAGCCUCUUGCCUAUGCAGUCGGAGAGAUUGAGGUCUGCAGCGUAGAUCCUUCGGGGCUAAAUGCAUUUGUGCUAAGUUAUAGCAUUUUAUAGACAACUUGUUGACUAUGAUUUGUCUUGUAGCUUACUCGCUUAUGUUAUUUUACCUACGCUUAGGAUGUUGAGUCGUAGAGCACGCAG